UACGACGUAUCAGAGUUUGAUCCUGGCUCAGGACGAACGCUGGCGGCAUGCCUAACACAUGCAAGUCGAACGGAGUUCUUUUAUUGGAUCCCCUCGGGGUGAGGAUACUAGAACUUAGUGGCGGACGGGUGAGUAACGCGUGGGUAACCUGCCCUUUUGUGGGGAACAACUUCGAGAAAUUGAAGCUAAUACCGCAUACUCUUCUUUUAUCGCAUGAUAAGAGAAGGAAAGAUGGCUUCUGAACAUGCUAUCGCAAAAGGAUGGACCCGCGUCUGAUUAGCUAGUUGGAAGGGUAACGGCCUACCAAGGCGACGAUCAGUAGCCGGCCUGAGAGGGUGAACGGCCACAUUGGGACUGAGACACGGCCCAA
RNAcentral lists this ribosomal RNA (370 nucleotides) under uncultured bacterium. RNAcentral's name for it is "bacterial SSU rRNA". It matches the Rfam family "Bacterial small subunit ribosomal RNA", at positions 1 to 334 of the family's 1533-position model. The record is from RNAcentral.